AUUGAACGCUGGCGGCCGGCCUAACACAUGCAAGUCGAGCGGAGUGGCGGACGGGUGAGUAAGGCCUAGGAAUCUGCCUGGUAGUGGGGGAUAACGUCAGGAAACGGGCGCUAAUACCGCAUACAAUCAGACGAGCCUAGGGCGGAUUAGCUAGGUGGGGGGGUAAAGGCCUACCAAGGCGACGAUCCGUAACUGGUCUGAAAGGAUGAUCAGUCACCCUGAAACAGAGACACGGUCCAGACUCCUACUGGAGGCAGCAGUGGGGAAUAUUGGGCAAUUGGCUAAAGCCUGAUCCAGUCAUGCCGCGUGGGUGAAGAAGGUCUUCGGAUUUUAAAGCACUUUAAGUUGGGAGGCGUUACCAACAGAAUAAGCACCGGCUAACUUCGUGCCAGCCGCCGCGGUAAUAC
This 407-nucleotide ribosomal RNA is filed under the name uncultured bacterium. RNAcentral's name for it is "partial 16S ribosomal RNA". It matches the Rfam family "Bacterial small subunit ribosomal RNA", at positions 30 to 526 of the family's 1533-position model. The record is from RNAcentral.